GCAAGGUUAGCCGUGGCGGUAAGGCGCCGGGCUCGUAACCGGGAGGCUGCUGGUUUGAUUCCCCAGCUGUA
Non-coding RNA from Megalops atlanticus (tarpon), 71 nucleotides. Lineage: Eukaryota; Metazoa; Chordata; Actinopteri; Elopiformes; Megalopidae. The record is from the annotation of a GenBank genome assembly.